RNAcentral lists this non-coding RNA (208 nucleotides) under Pontibacter ummariensis. Lineage: Bacteria; Pseudomonadati; Bacteroidota; Cytophagia; Cytophagales; Hymenobacteraceae. The record is from RNAcentral.
UACCUUUGCCCUCAGAUUGGUGGCGAUACCUAUUACCGUAGGUAUUGCCUUAAAAGGGAAGCAGGUGUAAGUCCUGCGCUGUUCCCGCAACUGUCAUCUUCAUAAAAAGGGUUAGCCUAACACCAACGGCCACUGUGCAGCAAGCGCUGCGUGGGAAGGCGGGCUAACUGAAGAGAGCCAGGAGACCUGCCAGUCCGGCAUUUUUUAG